UGGAGGCUGGAUCUUACGUUAGGAACUUUAAUCCUUGGGGCCAUAAGUAUUCUUAGGGGGCCGUCACUGUUUUAGCUUUGGUUAAAUUAAAUGGCACCCACCUGUUUAACAGGCAACAUAGGAUAACUUAUCCAACGACUAUUUGGCUUUCGC
This 153-nucleotide non-coding RNA is filed under the name Alphaproteobacteria bacterium TMED199. RNAcentral's name for it is "6S RNA". It matches the Rfam family "6S / SsrS RNA". Rfam says of the family: E. coli 6S RNA was the first non coding RNA to be sequenced, but its function was unknown until recently. The record is from RNAcentral. Lineage: Bacteria; Pseudomonadati; Pseudomonadota; Alphaproteobacteria.